RNAcentral lists this ribosomal RNA (202 nucleotides) under uncultured bacterium. RNAcentral describes it as "partial 16S ribosomal RNA". It matches the Rfam family "Bacterial small subunit ribosomal RNA", at positions 134 to 334 of the family's 1533-position model. The record is from RNAcentral.
CGGGGGGGAGUAAACCCAAAGGGGGAAAACUUUGGCUAAUACCGCAUGAUACCGAGAGGUCAAAGGGGGCUCGCAAGGGCUCUCGCCAUAGGAGGGGUCCGCGUCCGAUUAGCUAGUUGGUAGGGUAAUGGCCUACCAAGGCGACGAUCGGUAGCCGGCCUGAGAGGGUGAUCGGCCACACUGGAACUGAGACACGGUCCAG